GAUGAACGCUGGCGGCGUGCCUAAUACAUGCCAGUCGAGCGAACGGACGAGAAGCUUGCUUCUCUGAUGUUAGCGGCGGACGGGUGAGUAACACGUGGAUAACCUACCUAUAAGACUGGGAUAACUUCGGGAAACCGGAGCUAAUACCGGAUAAUAUUUUGAACCGCAUGGUUCAAAAGUGAAAGACGGUCUUGCUGUCACUUAUAGAUGGAUCCGCGCUGCAUUAGCUAGUUGGUAAGGUAACGGCUUACCAAGGCAACGAUGCAUAGCCGACCUGAGAGGGUGAUCGGCCACACUGGAACUGAGACACGGUCCGGACACCUACGGGAGGCAGCAGUAGGGAAUCUUCCGCGAUGGGCGAAAGCCUGACGGAGCAAAGCCGCGUGAGUGAUGAAGGUCUUAGGAUCGUAAAACUCUGUUAUUAGGGAAGAACAAAUGUGUAAGUAACUGUGCACAUCUUGACGGUACCUAAUCAGAAAGCCACGGCUAACUACGUG
RNAcentral lists this ribosomal RNA (497 nucleotides) under uncultured bacterium. RNAcentral's name for it is "partial 16S ribosomal RNA". It matches the Rfam family "Bacterial small subunit ribosomal RNA", at positions 28 to 507 of the family's 1533-position model. The record is from RNAcentral.